GGAAUCUUGCGCAAUGGGCGAAAGCCUGACGCAGCCAUGCCGCGUGAAUGAUGAAGGUCUUAGGAUUGUAAAAUUCUUUCACCGGGGACGAUAAUGACGGUACCCGGAGAAGAAGCCCCGGCUAACUUCGUGCCAGCAGCCGCGGUAAUACGAAGGGGGCUAGCGUUGCUCGGAAUUACUGGGCGUAAAGGGAGCGUAGGCGGACAUUUAAGUCAGGGGUGAAAUCCCGGGGCUCAACCUCGGAAUUGCCUUUGAUACUGGGUGUCUUGAGUAUGAGAGAGGUGUGUGGAACUCCGAGUGUAGAGGUGAAAUUCGUAGAUAUUCGGAAGAACACCAGUGGCGAAGGCGACACACUGGCUCAUUACUGACGCUGAGGCUCGAAAGCGUGGGGAGCAAACA
RNAcentral lists this ribosomal RNA (399 nucleotides) under uncultured Brevundimonas sp. RNAcentral describes it as "bacterial SSU rRNA". It matches the Rfam family "Bacterial small subunit ribosomal RNA", at positions 358 to 774 of the family's 1533-position model. Lineage: Bacteria; Pseudomonadati; Pseudomonadota; Alphaproteobacteria; Caulobacterales; Caulobacteraceae. The record is from RNAcentral.